Molecule: ribosomal RNA, 560 nt
Filed under: uncultured bacterium
Lineage: Bacteria
Description: bacterial SSU rRNA
Rfam family: Bacterial small subunit ribosomal RNA
Source: RNAcentral
GCAGCGCCUAACUUUUGCAAGUCGGCCGGUAACACGGGGAGCUUGCCUCUGGGUGACGAUCGGCGGACGGGUGAGAUACUGUCUGGGAAACUGCCUGAUGGAGGGGGAUAACUACUGGAAACGGUAGCUAAUACCGCAUAACGUCGCAAGACCAAAGAGGGGGACCUUCGGGCCUCUUGCCAUCAGAUGUGCCCAGAUGGGAUUAGCUAGUAGGUGGGGUAACGGCUCACCUAGGCGACGAUCCCUAGCUGGUCUGAGAGGAUGACCAGCCACACUGGAACUGAGACACGGUCCAGACUCCUACGGGAGGCAGCAGUGGGGAAUAUUGCACAAUGGGCGCAAGCCUGAUGCAGCCAUGCCGCGUGUAUGAAGAAGGCCUUCGGGUUGUAAAGUACUUUCAGCGGGGAGGAAGGUGUUGUGGCUAAUAACCACCAUGCUUGACUUUACUCCGCAGAAGAAGCACCGGCUAACUCCGUGCCACCACCCGCGGUUUACCCGAGGGUGCAAGCGUCAUUCGGAAUUACUGAGAGUACAUCUCACGCCGCCGUUUGUAAACUUCC